This 1330-nucleotide ribosomal RNA is filed under the name metagenome. RNAcentral's name for it is "bacterial LSU rRNA". It matches the Rfam family "Bacterial large subunit ribosomal RNA", at positions 1579 to 2925 of the family's 2925-position model. The record is from RNAcentral.
UUCGGGGCGAAGUAGCUGAUUUCACACUGUCAAGAAAAGCUUCUAUCGAGUUUAAAGGCGCCCGUACCGUAAACCGACACAGGUGGGUGAGGAGAGUAUCCUAAGGCCAGCGAGAGAACUAUUGUUAAGGAACUCGGCAAAAUGACCCCGUAACUUAGGGAGAAGGGGUGCCUGUCUAUGACAGGCCGCAGAGAAUAGGCCCAAGCGACUGUUUACCAAAAACACAGGUUUCUGCUAAGUCGCAAGACGAUGUAUAGGAGCUGACGCCUGCCCGGUGCUGGAAGGUUAAGGGGAUCUGUUAGAGCAAUCGAAGCAGUGAACUUAAGCCCCAGUAAACGGCGGCCGUAACGAUAACGGUCCUAAGGUAGCGAAAUUCCUUGUCGGGUAAGUUCCGACCCGCACGAAAGGCGUAACGAUUUGGGCACUGUCUCAACAAUAGACUCGGUGAAAUUGUAAUCCCGGUGAAGAUGCCGGGUACCUGCGACAGGACGGAAAGACCCCAUGGAGCUUUACUGUAGCUUGACGUUGGGUCUUGGUACUACAUGUACAGGAUAGGUGGGAGACUAUGAAGCAUGGACGCCAGUCUGUGUGGAGUCAUCCUUGGGAUACCACCCUUGUAGUACUGGGAUCCUAACCAUAGGCCUUGAAUCAGGUCUUGGAACACCGUCAGGUGGGCAGUUUGACUGGGGCGGUCGCCUCCUAAAAAGUAACGGAGGCGCUCAAAGGUUUCCUCAGCACGGUCGGAAAUCGUGCGAAGAGUGUAAAGGCAAAAGGAAGCUUGAUUGCAAGACAUACAGGUCGAGCAAGGACGAAAGUCGGACUUAGUGAUCCGGUGGUACCGCAUGGAAGGGCCAUCGCUCAACGGAUAAAAGCUACCCUGGGGAUAACAGGCUUAUCUCCCCCAAGAGUCCACAUCGACGGGGAGGUUUGGCACCUCGAUGUCGGCUCAUCACAUCCUGGGGCUGUAGUAGGUCCCAAGGGUUGGGCUGUUCGCCCAUUAAAGUGGUACGCGAGCUGGGUUCAGAACGUCGUGAGACAGUUCGGUCCCUAUCCGUCGCAGGCGUAGGAAAUUUGAGAAGACCUGUCCUUAGUACGAGAGGACCGGGAUGGACGUACCUCUGGUGUACCAGUUGUUCUGCCAAGGGCAUGGCUGGGUAGCUAUGUACGGAAUGGAUAAGCGCUGAAAGCAUCUAAGCGCGAAGCCAACUUCAAGAUAAGAUUUCCCACCGUAAGGGUAAGACCCCAGGAAGACUACCUGGUUGAUAGGUCGAAGGUGUAAGUGCAGUAAUGUAUUUAGCUUAUCGAUACUAAUAGGUCGAGGACUUGACCA